AUUCUGCUGCUUCAGCCUCCCAAGUAGCUGGGAUUACAGAUAACCAAAGUUCUCCCAUCCGUACCUCUUGCAAGAAAAGUUCUUGCAACUUUUUAUUCUUCGUUGGAUCCCACAACUAAAAUAUUCAUAAAAUAUUCAACAAUGAGUAAUGAAGAUGCUCCAGGUAAAUGUAAUGCAGCAAUGGACCAUACUUUGGGAAAGUCCUGGGAAGAAGAGGAAGAAAGACCCUAGAAAAAGUGAGAAGAGACUCUUUAUCUGCUUUGGUUUAUUCAUGUGUAAAAUGAGAAUAGAGGCCAGGCACAGUGGCUCCCUCGUGUAAUCCCAACACUUCAGGAGGCCAAGG
Molecule: long non-coding RNA, 343 nt
Filed under: Homo sapiens (human)
Lineage: Eukaryota; Metazoa; Chordata; Mammalia; Primates; Hominidae
Description: HSALNT0377298
Source: RNAcentral